This 327-nucleotide ribosomal RNA is filed under the name uncultured Streptococcus sp. Its description in RNAcentral is "bacterial SSU rRNA". It matches the Rfam family "Bacterial small subunit ribosomal RNA", at positions 1051 to 1382 of the family's 1533-position model. The record is from RNAcentral. Lineage: Bacteria; Bacillati; Bacillota; Bacilli; Lactobacillales; Streptococcaceae.
GUCGUCAGCUCGUGUCGUGAGAUGUCGGUAAGUCCGCAACGAGCGCAACCCCUAUUGUUAGUUGCCAUCAUUCAGUUGGGCACUCUAGCGAGACUGCCGGUAAUAAACCGGAGGAAGGUGGGGAUGACGUCAAAUCAUCAUGCCCCUUAUGACCUGGGCUACACACGUGCUACAAUGGUUGGUACAACGAGUUGCGGGUCGGUGACGGCGAGCUAAUCUCUUAAAGCCAAUCUCAGUUCGGAUUGUAGGCUGCAACUCGCCUACAUGAAGUCGGAAUCGCUAGUAAUCGCGGAUCAGCACGCCGCGGUGAAUACGUUCCCGGGCCUU